UGGGGAAUAUUGGACAAUGGGGGGAACCCUGAUCCAGCCAUGCCGCGUGUGUGAAGAAGGCCUUAUGGUUGUAAAGCACUUUAAGCGAGGAGGAGGGUACUGGUAUUAAUACUACCAGCUACUGGACGUUACUCGCAGAAUAAGCACCGGCUAACUCUGUGCCAGCAGCCGCGGUAAUACAGAGGGUGCGAGCGUUAAUCGGAUUUACUGGGCGUAAAGCGUGCGUAUGCGGCUAAUUGAGUCGGAUGUGAAAUCCCCGAGCUUAACUUGGGAAUUGCAUUCGAUACUGGUUAGCUAGAGUGUGGGAGAGGAUGGUAGAAUUCCAGGUGUAGCGGUGAAAUGCGUAGAGAUCUGGAGGAAUACCGAUGGCGAAGGCAGCCAUCUGGCCUAACACUGACGCUGAGGUACGAAAGCAUGGGGAGCAAACAGG
Molecule: ribosomal RNA, 430 nt
Filed under: Pseudomonadota bacterium
Lineage: Bacteria; Pseudomonadati; Pseudomonadota
Description: Proteobacteria bacterium partial 16S ribosomal RNA
Rfam family: Bacterial small subunit ribosomal RNA
Source: RNAcentral